CGUUGAUAGGCCGGGUGUGUAAGCGCAGCGAUGCGUUGAGCUAACCGGUACUAAUGAGCCGUGAGGCUUAACCUUACAACGCCGAAG
Molecule: ribosomal RNA, 87 nt
Filed under: Salmonella enterica subsp. enterica serovar Derby
Lineage: Bacteria; Pseudomonadati; Pseudomonadota; Gammaproteobacteria; Enterobacterales; Enterobacteriaceae
Description: partial 23S ribosomal RNA
Rfam family: Bacterial large subunit ribosomal RNA (bases 1-75)
Source: RNAcentral